CCUACGGGAGGCAGCAGUGAGGAAUAUUGGUCAAUGGACGAGAGUCUGAACCAGCCAAGUAGCGUGAAGGAUGACUGCCCUAUGGGUUGUAAACUUCUUUUAUAAAGGAAUAAAACGAGGCACGUGUGCCUUUUUGCAUGUACCUUAUGAAUAAGGAUCGGCUAACUCCGUGCCAGCAGCCGCGGUAAUACGGAGGAUCCGAGCGUUAUCCGGAUUUAUUGGGUUUAAAGGGAGCGUAGAUGGGUUGUUAAGUCAGUUGUGAAAGUUUGCGGCUCAACCGUAAAAUUGCAGUUGAUACUGGCAGUCGUGAGUACAGUUGAGGUAGGCGGAAUGCGUGGUGUAGCGGUGAAAUGCUUAGAUAUCACGAAGAACCCCGAUUGCGAAGGCAGCUUACUAACCUCUGACUGACAUUGAUGCUCGAAAGUGUGGGUAUCAAACAGGAUUAGAUACCCGUGUAGUC
This 460-nucleotide ribosomal RNA is filed under the name uncultured bacterium. RNAcentral describes it as "partial 16S ribosomal RNA". It matches the Rfam family "Bacterial small subunit ribosomal RNA", at positions 338 to 795 of the family's 1533-position model. The record is from RNAcentral.